UCUUUACACAUCCAACAUGUAAAGACCAGCUACGAGAAGAGACCUUGGUCACCCCUCAUAUAAUCCUGACUUUUGUCUAUCAUUCUGGUUUAUGAGAUUGGUUUUACUUUAUCCAGUUAAAAAUUUUGUAUAACAAAUCAAUGGAUGAAUACAAUUGCAGGGCAAAAUAAUAAUUUUGAUGUAUAUAUUACGAACAAUUCAUCAGGGCUUACAUCUUUGGAACAAGGAUUUUUUUUCUUUCACUUCAAGGAUUCUUUUUCUCACUUCAAUUCAACCACCCUCUUCGAGAUGCCAUUAGGAUGAUUAAAUUCAACAUAUUCAACAGUGGAUUGAGAAUGAAAUUCAUCAUUGAAGAGGAAGGUAAAUAAUUUAGAACCUAGACUUUCCAGAAGCUUAGUCAGAAGAUUUAUCCUCAUCAGCAUGUCCAUCAACACCUGGGAUUAUACUCUUUGUUAAUAAAAU
Molecule: long non-coding RNA, 462 nt
Organism: Sitophilus oryzae (rice weevil)
Lineage: Eukaryota; Metazoa; Arthropoda; Insecta; Coleoptera; Curculionidae
Exons: 4
Source: RefSeq, a predicted model, not a curated record